GUGAAUCAUCGAAUCUUUGAACGCACAUUGCGCCUCCGGGUAUUCCUAGAGGCAUGCUUGUUCGAGCGUCGUUAAAGACCAUAAGGCUUUGCCUUGCGAUGAGCCAUCGAUUUCUCUCUGAGUUUGAUGGUUUCAAACUGAUUGGCGUCUGAAGUUUAGCCCAAGCACAGCAAAAUGUGUCUGAAAGCGAAACGAGAAAGGAUUGCCGUUAAACAACAAAUAACAAAAGGUCGACCUCGGAUCAAGCAAGAUUACCCGCUGAACUUAAGCAUAUCAAUAAGCGGAGGA
This 288-nucleotide unclassified non-coding RNA is filed under the name fungal sp. RNAcentral describes it as "partial contains 5.8S ribosomal RNA, internal transcribed spacer 2, and large subunit ribosomal RNA". The stretch from base 1 to 71 matches the Rfam family "5.8S ribosomal RNA", at positions 84 to 154 of the family's 154-position model. Lineage: Eukaryota; Fungi. The record is from RNAcentral.